ACAGCAUGAUGCACUUCUUCAAGCAAAUGCUACUAAUUACCGUUACGGUUUUGUUUGCAAUGCAUUUUGUUAAUGCGUGUUGUGGAGCCCACGGAGAAGACCGCAUUCAGCCUCAAUUCCACAGAGUUGCUUUACCCAAUCGAAAAUCCAUUUUCCGUUUACGAAACAGCACUUCUCCUUAUUAGAAACACUUUACUAUCAAACUUCCCUUAACUUGAAAAUUCUAGAUACCUACCUACUUAUGUGGUUGUUAUAUAACAGGCCGAAUUUCAAAAAACCUCUGCAUUAGACUCAAGCAAAUUAGAAAAUCUCCCAAAAACCACAAUGGCUAUUGAAAUACAGAAGAUUCUAGCUCAAAUUCAGGAUACCAAGGUUGUAAGGAAUAAAGGACACGCACAAGAAUUACUGAAACAAAUGAAGAAAGUAUUUGUAACUACCAGUACUAAGUCUAGAAUACUGUAUAAAUGUCCUUUCCCAAGGUGCAAAGCAAAAUCUAUGCGACCAAUUCAUUAGUUUGUUAAAACGCCAAUAAACGAGACUAAAUUAUGCAUUAAAAAUCUGUAUUCUGUCUGGUUCUUUAUUUUAAUAAGUAACAUAAAAACGCUAAAAAAUUAUUUCCAUUAUUUCCUUCAGGUGACAGAUUUCUACCAGUAACUUAGGGUGUGUGCUUUAGAAAUAUUAAAACUACCCUCAGUGU
Long non-coding RNA from Cydia strobilella, 697 nucleotides. RefSeq lists it as uncharacterized. The record is from RefSeq and is a predicted model, not a curated record. The transcript has 2 exons. Lineage: Eukaryota; Metazoa; Arthropoda; Insecta; Lepidoptera; Tortricidae.